This 83-nucleotide ribosomal RNA is filed under the name Clostridium paridis. RNAcentral describes it as "Bacterial large subunit ribosomal RNA". It matches the Rfam family "Bacterial large subunit ribosomal RNA", at positions 2842 to 2925 of the family's 2925-position model. The record is from Rfam by way of RNAcentral. Lineage: Bacteria; Bacillati; Bacillota; Clostridia; Eubacteriales; Clostridiaceae.
AGAACACAAGGUUGAUAGGUGAGGGGUGUAAGUGUGGUAACAUAUUUAGCUGACUCAUACUAAUAGAUCGAGGGCUUGACCAA